This 433-nucleotide ribosomal RNA is filed under the name uncultured bacterium. RNAcentral describes it as "partial 16S ribosomal RNA". It matches the Rfam family "Bacterial small subunit ribosomal RNA", at positions 29 to 507 of the family's 1533-position model. The record is from RNAcentral.
AAUGAACGCUGGCGGCAUGCCUAACACAUGCAAGUCGAACGAAGGCUUCGGCCUUAGUGGCGCACGGGUGCGUAACGCGUGGGAAUCUGCCCUUGGGUUCGGAAUAACAGUUAGAAAUGACUGCUAAUACCGGAUGAUGUCGUAAGACCAAAGAUUUAUCGCCCAAGGAUGAGCCCGCGUAGGAUUCGCUAGUUGGUGGGGUAAAGGCCUACCAAGGCGACGAUACUUAGCUGGUCUGAGAGGAUGCUCAGCCACACUGGGACUGAGACACGGCCCAGACUCCUACGGGAGGCAGCAGUGGGGAAUAUUGGACAAUGGGCGAAAGCCUGAUCCAGCAAUGCCGCGUGAGUGAUGAAGGCCUUAGGGUUGUAAAGCUCUUUUACCCGGGAUGAUAAUGACAGUACCGGGAGAAUAAGCUCCGGCUAACUUCGUG